AACGAACGCUGGCGGCAUGCCUAACACAUGCAAGUCGAACGAGACCUUCGGGUCUAGUGGCGCACGGGUGCGUAACGCGUGGGAAUCUGCCCUUGGGUUCGGAAUAACAGUUGGAAACGACUGCUAAUACCGGAUGAUGACGUAAGUCCAAAGAUUUAUCGCCCAAGGAUGAGCCCGCGUAGGAUUAGCUAGUUGGUGAGGUAAAGGCUCACCAAGGCGACGAUCCUUAGCUGGUCUGAGAGGAUGAUCAGCCACACUGGGACUGAGACACGGCCCAGACUCCUACGGGAGGCAGCAGUGGGGAAUAUUGGACAAUGGGCGAAAGUCUGAUCCAGCAAUGCCGCGUGAGUGAUGAAGGCCUUAGGGUUGUAAAGCUCUUUUACCCGGGAUGAUAAUGACAGUACCGGGAGAAUAAGCUCCGGCUAACUCCGUG
This 433-nucleotide ribosomal RNA is filed under the name uncultured bacterium. RNAcentral describes it as "partial 16S ribosomal RNA". It matches the Rfam family "Bacterial small subunit ribosomal RNA", at positions 29 to 507 of the family's 1533-position model. The record is from RNAcentral.